UAACCGUGGUAAUUCUAGAGCUAAUACAUGCUAAAAAUCCCGACUUCGGAAGGGAUGUAUUUAUUAGAUUAAAAACCAAUGCCCUCUGGGCUCUCUGGUGAUUCAUGAUAACUUCUCGAAUCGCAUGGCCUUGCGCCGGCGAUGGUUCAUUCAAAUUUCUUCCCUAUCAACUUUCGAUGUUUGGGUAGUGGCCAAACAUGGUUGCAACGGGUAACGGAGGGUUAGGGCUCGACCCCGGAGAAGGAGCCUGAGAAACGGCUACUACAUCCAAGGAAGGMAGCAGGMGCGCAAAUUACCCAAUCCCGAUUCGGGGAGGUAGUGACAAUAAAUACUGAUACAGGGCUCUUUUGGGUCUUGUAAUUGGAAUGAGUACAAUUUAAAUCCCUUAACGRGGAACAAUUGGGAGGGCAAGUCUGGUGCCAGCAGCCGMGGUAAUUCCAGCUCCAAUAGCGUAUAUUAAAGUUGUUGUGGKUAAAAAGCUCGUAGUUGAACCUUGGGCCURGCUGGGCGGUCC
Molecule: ribosomal RNA, 514 nt
Filed under: Keithomyces carneus
Lineage: Eukaryota; Fungi; Ascomycota; Sordariomycetes; Hypocreales; Clavicipitaceae
Description: SSU rRNA
Rfam family: Eukaryotic small subunit ribosomal RNA
Source: RNAcentral